AGCCAGACUCCUACGGGAGGCAGCAGUGGGGAAUAUUGCGCAAUGGGGGCAACCCUGACCCAGCAACGCCGCGUGAAGGAAGAAGGCUUUCGGGUUGUAAACUUCUUUUAAGGGGGAAGAGGAGAAGACGGUACCCCUUGAAUAAGCCACGGCUAACUACGUGCCAGCAGCCGCGGUAAUACGUAGGUGGCAAGCGUUGUCCGGAUUUACUGGGUGUAAAGGGCGUGCAGCCGGGAGGACAAGUCAGAUGUGAAAUCCCGCGGCUCAACCGCGGAACUGCAUUUGAAACUGUUUUUCUUGAGUACUGGAGAGGCAGACGGAAUUCCUAGUGUAGCGGUGAAAUGCGUAGAUAUUAGGAGGAACACCAGUGGCGAAGGCGGUCUGCUGGACAGCAACUGACGCUGAGGCGCGAAAGCGUGGGGAGCAAACAGGAUUAGAUACCCCGGUAACU
Molecule: ribosomal RNA, 451 nt
Filed under: uncultured bacterium
Lineage: Bacteria
Description: bacterial SSU rRNA
Rfam family: Bacterial small subunit ribosomal RNA
Source: RNAcentral